CACGUAGGGCGCAAGCGUUGUCCGGAAUUAUUGGGCGUAAAGAGCUCGUAGGCGGUUUGGCAAGUCGGGUGUGAAAUUUCGAGGCUCAACCUCGAAACGCCACUCGAUACUGCCAUGACUGGAGUCCGGUAGAGGAGUGCGGAAUUCCUGGUGUAGCGGUGAAAUGCGCAGAUAUCAGGAGGAACACCAACGGCGAAGGCAGCACUCUGGGCCGGUACUGACGCUGAGGAGCGAAAGCGUGGGGAGCAAACAGG
This 254-nucleotide ribosomal RNA is filed under the name uncultured bacterium. RNAcentral's name for it is "partial 16S ribosomal RNA". It matches the Rfam family "Bacterial small subunit ribosomal RNA", at positions 524 to 776 of the family's 1533-position model. The record is from RNAcentral.